This 74-nucleotide transfer RNA is filed under the name Candidatus Staskawiczbacteria bacterium RIFCSPHIGHO2_02_FULL_43_16. RNAcentral's name for it is "tRNA-Trp". It matches the Rfam family "tRNA". Rfam says of the family: Transfer RNA (tRNA) molecules are approximately 80 nucleotides in length. Their secondary structure includes four short double-helical elements and three loops (D, anti-codon, and T loops). Further hydrogen bonds mediate the characteristic L-shaped molecular structure. tRNAs have two regions of fundamental functional importance: the anti-codon, which is responsible for specific mRNA codon recognition, and the 3' end, to which the tRNAs corresponding amino acid is attached (by aminoacyl-tRNA synthetases). tRNAs cope with the degeneracy of the genetic code in two manners: having more than one tRNA (with a specific anti-codon) for a particular amino acid; and 'wobble' base-pairing, i.e. permitting non-standard base-pairing at the 3rd anti-codon position. RNAcentral also lists the same sequence under 2 other names. Lineage: Bacteria; Candidatus Staskawicziibacteriota. The record is from RNAcentral.
AGGGGCGUGGUGAAGUGGUAUCAUAAAGGUCUCCAAAACCUUUGGUCCAGGUUCGAUUCCUGGCGCCCCUGCCA